RNAcentral lists this transfer RNA (496 nucleotides) under Anabaena oscillarioides RPAN4. RNAcentral describes it as "partial 16S-23S ribosomal RNA intergenic spacer". The stretch from base 283 to 355 matches the Rfam family "tRNA". The record is from RNAcentral. Lineage: Bacteria; Bacillati; Cyanobacteriota; Cyanophyceae; Nostocales; Nostocaceae.
AGGGAGACCUACCCAACUUGAGAACCGAAAGCAAACAGCAAAUAAGUAUCAAGAUGGUCUACUCGAGGUCGGUCGCAGAGAAGUUGAGAAAAGCUUUCAAACUAUGAUUUGGUUUGGUUCGAGAAUGGGCUAUUAGCUCAGGUGGUUAGAGCGCACCCCUGAUAAGGGUGAGGUCCCUGGUUCGAGUCCAGGAUGGCCCACCUGAAAACAGUGAACAGUCAAAAGUAAACAGGAGUCAGAAAAGACUGAUAACUGGUAACGAAUAACUGAUAACUGAAUUCUGGGGGUUUAGCUCAGUUGGUAGAGCGCCUGCUUUGCAAGCAGGAUGUCAGCGGUUCGAGUCCGCUAACCUCCACCUGAAAAAAAAGAAUGGAGAUAUCAGCACCUAACGCCUGAACGCCUGAAGAGAAGGGAGAAGUUAGAAUGCUGGGUUGAAUCCAGCCAGAACCUUGAAAACUGCAUAGAAACGCGAAAAAGAAGCAGGCAGACACAGACA